AAUCAACGCUGGCGGCGUGCCUAACACAUGCAAGUCGAACGAGAAGGUGACUUCGGUCACUGGAUAGUGGCGUCCGGGUGAGUAACACGUAGGUAAUCUACCUUCGGGUGGGGAAUAACGUCUCGAAAGAGACGCUAAUACCGCAUAAUGCAGCGGCACCUAAUGGUGAUUAGUUGUUAAAGCGGGGGAUCUUCGGACCUCGCGCCUGAAGAGGAGCCUGCGGCAGAUUAGCUAGUUGGUGAGGUAAUGGCUCACCAAGGCUUCGAUCUGUAGCUGGUCUGAGAGGACGGCCAGCCACACUGGCACUGACACACGGGCCAGACUCCUACGGGAGGCAGCAGUGGGGAAUUUUGGGCAAUGGGCGAAAGCCUGACCCAGCAACGCCGCGUGAAGGAGGAAAUCCUUC
This 406-nucleotide ribosomal RNA is filed under the name uncultured bacterium. RNAcentral describes it as "bacterial SSU rRNA". It matches the Rfam family "Bacterial small subunit ribosomal RNA", at positions 32 to 419 of the family's 1533-position model. The record is from RNAcentral.